Molecule: ribosomal RNA, 254 nt
Filed under: uncultured bacterium
Lineage: Bacteria
Description: partial 16S ribosomal RNA
Rfam family: Bacterial small subunit ribosomal RNA
Source: RNAcentral
UACAGAGGGUGCGAGCGUUGUCCGGAAUCACUGGGCGUAAAGGGCGCGUAGGCGGCUUGAUAAGCGUGCGGUGAAAGCCCGGGGCUCAACCCCGGGUCGGCCGUGCGAACUGUCGAGCUGGAGCACUGUAGAGGCAGGUGGAAUUCCGGGUGUAGCGGUGGAAUGCGUAGAGAUCCGGAAGAACACCGGUGGCGAAGGCGGCCUGCUGGGCAGUAGCUGACACUGAGGCGCGGACAGCGUGGGGAGCAAACAGG